This is a long non-coding RNA of Macaca fascicularis (crab-eating macaque), 2193 nucleotides long. The record is from Ensembl. NCBI's taxonomy places the organism in Eukaryota, Metazoa, Chordata, Mammalia, Primates, Cercopithecidae.
AUUUAACGUGAAAACCAUUAACUGGAAUAAUUGAGUUUCUUUAUUUUUACAAUAAAUUCACUGAGUAAAUAAGUUGGAGCUGGAAUUCUGAGCUUUGUGUUUGGACUGUCUGGUCUGUAGCUAAAGGAAAAAGUUAGGAGAGGAAUAUUUAUUUAAAUCUAUCAGUUCAUUUGCUGGUCAGGUCUCUGGCCUAUAAACAUGCAAAAAAAUUAAUUCAUGUCAAAGUCCUUCCAGAUCCUAAUUUCUAAAGCAAUCAGGAGAGAAGCUUUUAGAAUGGCACAUCAUAUCCUAUUGGUGCCAACAUGGUUUUGUCCAUGGUUCCGACUUUCUGUGAAGGCACCAGCUUGCAAUAUGCCAUCUCAUUUCAUGUUGCAUGUGAGACAGCAAACAAAAUCCACAAACGGUGUGAACUAAUUAAUAUGCUGGCUGCUACCUUGCAUAAAUUAAUGAUUUGAUCACACGGGUUCUUCGUGGGGUUACAUCUGUGAAUAGCCUGUUUUCCACAUGUAAAUUUGUGCCUUACACCUUGAGUUGUGUACACGUGUAAACUGUCGUUAUGAUCAACUUUUCCCCCUUUUGAAAUAAGUGCAGAUAUUUAUUUAACCCUCCCUUCCCCCCACCCCCCCUCCAGCCCUCUGGAAAACUGGAGUCAAGCAGAUGGAAGAAUGCAGUGGUGAUAGUUGUCAUGCUACAGCCUGAGAACGCUGGGCAGCACCACACCCUCCAAUGCACACUGCCUUCUAGUUGUGCCAACUCGAACCACCCUUUGGCUGUGCUGCCAAGCAUGGACCCCAGUGUUGUGGGUGGGAAAUCCCCUUUCAUCCUCGAGAGCUCCCUGCUUCCCUUAGAUUAUUUCAAUACGGUGAUUAGCAAAUAAGGAUUUGCUAGCAGAAAAGGGACUAAUGUCCCAUUCCUCUUUUCUGCUGUGUCCACUGGCUAGAGAGCAGGCUGUGUGUGGUUGGGCAGACACCUGGGAGGAGUCCCCAAGCCAUGUGCAUAGCACACACAUGCAGUGCACACAAAGAAAUGACAUGGAAAUAGAUGCAGGCAGGCUGGUCCCUGCUGUGAUUAAUGAGUAACUCCAGGUACAAGUCCGACCACAAUGGAUGCUGCAAAAACGUUGACUGGGGCAAAGGAUUUUUUGUUUUAUUUUUUAUUUUGUUAUUAUUGUUUUUAGGGGAUGGGAGGUGAUGUGUGUUUUUCUCCCCUUGGUUUUCAUUUGCUCAACACAAAAGGGACUUUUGUUUACUCUAUCAUGAACAAAGGAACUGUCCACAUACUGUAAACCAUGAGCAGUGUUGUUGUUUUAAACAGUUAUACAGUAUAUUUGGUGGUCUCUUUGUCUGUUUUUAUUUCCAGUUGGAUCUUCUGGGUUUAGUUUUGUCUUUAAAAAGAAUUCAAAAAAAGACUGACAAUGACAGUUUUGAGUUGGAUAGUGAAAAAGUGGAGCCUCCAUAAUCAGUUGGUUGCCUUCAGACCUAAGUACUUAGCUGAGGGUGAGAGCCCUUUGUUCCAAAAGUCCAUUGCAGUUUUGCUGUUGUUUAGGGGUAGGUGAUGGUGGUGGUUGUUUUCACUUUUUUUUUUUUUUUGGCUUUUGUAAUGGAAUCCAUGUUCACAUCCUGUAAACUCUGUCCCCUGAAACCCUGAAGUAUUUUCUAGAAAUUGAAAUACUGUUUUCUUCCUUGAAUUUUCUCUAGAAAUGCAGAAAUUAGGAAGGCGAUGGGUCUGUAUCCCCCGACCCCUUCUUUCCCAUGCUUGACUCUCAGAGUACUGGCUGUACAGCACCCAUCAUUGACAUGAGCGGCUGUCUUGUCCAGUAUUUGUGGGCCUCACUGCCUCAGCUGUUAAGGAGACCUGUGUCAAAACUUACAUCCACAUUCCUACGCCCCCACAACCCAUCACUUCUGGUGUUAACCCUAAAAUACCCACAUGUAUUGAGCUGGUCUUCUGCAUUUAAGUAUUUCUUCCCAUUUGUUUUCCCCACUGUGUGUGGGGGGAGGGUCCAUAAACCCGAGUGUGCCUUUGCUUUCCACCCUUGCUAGACACUGGUAGAUGCAACAAAUUCAGAUUUGUAUUUGUUAUAAAGUUGUAAAAAUAUUGUGAUGUCACCAAUUUUCCUUCCAUCUCCACAUCCCCUAACAUCUGAUUCACGACUUAAUGUAUGUUGUAAAAAAGGAAAAAAAAAAAAAAAAA